AUUGAACGCUGGCGGCAUGCUUUACACAUGCAAGUCGAACGGUAACAGGCUGCCAGGUGCUGACGAGUGGCGUACGGGUGAGUAAUGCAUCGGAACGUGCCCAGUCGUGGGGGGUAACUACUCGUAAGAGUAGCUAAUACCGCAUACGAUAUAUGGAUGAAAGCGGGGGACCGUAAGGCCUCGCGCGAUUGGAGCGGGCGAUAUCAGACCAGGUAGUUGGUGGGGUAAAGGUUGACCAAGCGAACGAUCUGUAGCAGCUCUGAGAGGACGACCAGCCACACUGGGACUGAGACACGGCCCAGACUCCUGCGGGGGGCAGCAGUGGGGAAUUUUGGGCAAUGGGGGAAAGCCUGAUCCAGCAAUGCCGCGUGCAGGAUGAAGGCCUUCGGGUUGUAAACUGCUUUUGUACGGAGCGAAGCGGCUCUGGUUAAUACCCGGGGCUAAUGACGGUACCGUAAGAAUAAGCACCGGCUAACUACGUG
This 482-nucleotide ribosomal RNA is filed under the name uncultured bacterium. RNAcentral's name for it is "partial 16S ribosomal RNA". It matches the Rfam family "Bacterial small subunit ribosomal RNA", at positions 30 to 507 of the family's 1533-position model. The record is from RNAcentral.